UUUUGUUUUCUAUAUCGGAUAGGGCUGCCGGAGAGCUAAUCGACACCCGCAAAGCCGCGUUGUGCCAGCCCUCUCCCUCCGCCGUCCAUAUCGUGUGCAAGACCUGCCUCAGUAUGCUGUCGAAACCCACGAAUAUUGCUUCGUCAACGUCUUUCGUUUUGCAGCCAACAUUUCGAAAGAUGUCAUCAUGUGCAUUUUCAGUUAUAACCAUUUAAUUAAUGAGUUGAAGUUCAUGUUCUGAUCUCUCAAUUUAUGAGUUGAAUGAGUAUUCUGAUUCUCUCUGUUUCUUUAAAAUUCAACUUUAUGUCUAUUGCUUUUGAUUGGUUUUCGCAGAUUUCGUGUAUUAUAGAUAUAGCUACUACUAAAUGACUACAUUGUUUCAGUAAUAAUAAAAUGUAAUCCAUGGAGACUGCUUGGGUUUUGGUAGGUUUUGGGUUUUUUUGGGUUGAUUUGGGUCAUAAUUGUUUUUAACCUUGUAAAGUAAAUGUCUUUCGCCUUGACAGAGGUUGUAAGUAGUGGAAAUUAUGAGUUUGUAUUUUUGGUUUUAAUUGUUUUUAUUUCAAGAAGUAUUUGAUGCCAAGAUUCAUAGGAUUUUACACCUUUUUAGCAAUUUGUGGGUAAUUUACCUUGGGGUUUCACAGAGUUUUUCAAAGAAAUGCAAAUUCAAUUUGCAUUUAGGUUUUCUUCACUUUGUUUAUUUCUGUAAAGAACCAAUUCAACCCAAAAGCUUAAGCUGUUGGGUGAGGUUACAUUAAUGGUUUUUUAUAUUUCUCAACACACCCCUUCACACGAGAGCUUAAAGGGUGGACAAUGCACAGACCCACCUACCUAUGCGAACAAAGAAAUUCCACUUGAAAGAAAGUCGGGCGGCGAGGAUCGAACCUGGGACACGAGGCUCUGAUACCAUGUAAAGAACCAAUUCAACUCAAAAGCUUAAGCUGUUGGGUGAGGUUAUUUAUAUAUCUCAACAAUUUCUAUAGGAAGGUUCUUGGGUUAAUUCAUUUGUACGCAAUCAGAACGUGGGAGUAACCGAACUAUCUUUUGCUGCAUUGGGAAUACUUAUCCAAUUAGCCUUUUUCCACCAUAAUCUUGCACUAAAUGGAACAGUCGAAUAAGGCUGCAGAAUGUGAUGCCAAAGAGACUCAAGCAGAUCCAAAUCAAUGGAAUGGUAUUGGUGGAUAUUAUGGAUAUGGGAUAUAGUUGAAGGAGUUCCGCCCCAAAUUUUCCGUUUUCUUUUGUAAUCUUAUGAUACUUAUUUUCUGUUGCUUCUCUUUUCGUGUCUCGUGGAAAAGCUCUCAUUGCUCCUUCCUUCUUUUGUAUCAAUAGGCUUUGUUUGGGAGUUGAUUUUAGGAGGGGAAGAAAAUGAAA
Molecule: long non-coding RNA, 1368 nt
Organism: Gastrolobium bilobum
Lineage: Eukaryota; Viridiplantae; Streptophyta; Magnoliopsida; Fabales; Fabaceae
Exons: 3
Source: RefSeq, a predicted model, not a curated record